Molecule: ribosomal RNA, 253 nt
Filed under: uncultured bacterium
Lineage: Bacteria
Description: partial 16S ribosomal RNA
Rfam family: Bacterial small subunit ribosomal RNA
Source: RNAcentral
UACGAAGGGGGCUAGCGUUGUUCGGAAUCACUGGGCGUAAAGCGCACGUAGGCGGCUUGUUAAGUCAGAGGUGAAAGCCUGGAGCUCAACUCCAGAACUGCCUUUGAUACUGGCAAGCUCGAGGAUGGCAGAGGUUGGUGGAACUCCGAGUGUAGAGGUGAAAUUCGUAGAGAUUCGGAAGAACACCAGUGGCGAAGGCGGCCAACUGGGCCAUUACUGACGCUGAGGUGCGAAAGAGUGGGGAGCAAACAGG